This 468-nucleotide ribosomal RNA is filed under the name uncultured bacterium. Its description in RNAcentral is "partial 16S ribosomal RNA". It matches the Rfam family "Bacterial small subunit ribosomal RNA", at positions 28 to 507 of the family's 1533-position model. The record is from RNAcentral.
GACGAACGCUGGCGGCGUGCUUAACACAUGCAAGUCGAACGGAAAGGCCCUGCUCUUGUGGGGUGCUCGAGUGGCGAACGGGUGAGUAACACGUGAGUAACCUGCCCUUGACUUUGGGAUAACUUCAGGAAACUGGGGCUAAUACCGGAUAGGAGCUCCUGCUGCAUGGUGGGGGUUGGAAAGUUUCGGCGGUUGGGGAUGGACUCGCGGCUUAUCAGCUUGUUGGUGGGGUAGUUGCUUACCAAGGCUUUGACGGGUAGCCGGCCUGAGAGGGUGACCGGCCACAUUGGGACUGAGGUACGCACCAGACUCCUACGGGAGGCAGCAGGGGGGAAUAUUGCAGAAUGGGCGGAAGCCUGAUGCAGCAACGCCGCGUGCGGGAUGCCGGCCUUCGGGUUGUAAACCGCUUUCGCCUGUGACGAAGCGUGAGUGACGGUAAUGGGUAAAGAAGCACCGGCUAACUACGUG